AUUGAACGCUGGCGGCAGGCCUAACACAUGCAAGUCGAGCGGAUGAAGGGAGCUUGCUCCUGGAUUCAGCGGCGGACGGGUGAGUAAUGCCUAGGAAUCUGCCCGGUAGUGGGGGAUAACGUCCGGAAACGGGCGCUAAUACCGCAUACGUCCUGGGGGAGAAGGUGGGGGCUUUUGGCCCCUCGCUCUCUGAUGUGCCCCUAGGUCGGAUUAGCUAGUUGGUGGGGUAAAGGCCUACCAAGGCGACGAUCCGUAACUGGUCUGAGAGGAUGAUCAGUCACACUGGAACUGAGACACGGUCCAGACUCCUACGGGAGGCAGCAGUGGGGAAUAUUGGACAAUGGGCGAAAGCCUGAUCCAGCCAUGCCGCGUGUGUGAAGAAGGUCUUCGGAUUGUAAAGCACUUUAAGUUGGGAGGAAGGGCAGUAAGUUAAUACCUUGCUGUUUUGACGUUACCAACAGAAUAAGCACCGGCUAACUUCGUG
Molecule: ribosomal RNA, 484 nt
Filed under: uncultured bacterium
Lineage: Bacteria
Description: partial 16S ribosomal RNA
Rfam family: Bacterial small subunit ribosomal RNA
Source: RNAcentral